Molecule: long non-coding RNA, 750 nt
Organism: Pogoniulus pusillus (Red-fronted tinkerbird)
Lineage: Eukaryota; Metazoa; Chordata; Aves; Piciformes; Lybiidae
Exons: 3
Source: RefSeq, a predicted model, not a curated record
ACGUCCGGAUGAGAUCCAUGCUCAUUAAAAUGGGAAACAGUAUUCUGAUUCAUCCUUGAAAGACAUGAAGAUACUUAUCCCAAGUGCUGUUUAAGCUGAAGAGGCAUCAAAGUUACAGUUUCUCUUAAAAUGUCCCCCACAAUAGAGAUAUGUGAGGUGGUGAAGAUUCCACCACAAAGUAUUUUUGCUGUCUGCAUUCAUCUUUCUUUGUGCAGGCUGCUUUUAAGUGAUGUUCUAGUGAUUCACAAUGGACACAAAGAAAGUCUAGACUAAGGACAUGGCAGAAAGUGGAUUGAAUUAUGCCUCGUUUUUCUCUGGCAUGAAAACAAAGCACAACGAGGAGGUGCACCAAGAUGCAGGAGGUAAAGAGCAAUCACAGCUCCAGGAACUUUAUGCCUCUGGGACAAAUAAACUGAUUAUUCCAUCCACUUCCCACUCAAGCACUACUUUGUUGAUGUGGAUCCACUGAGCACUGGGCUGCAAAGCCUUCGGCAGGAUUUAUUUCCAAGUGCGUCUAGCCAGGACAGAAUCCGUCAAAAUGAGCUCAAGAGUCAAGUCUUCUGUGUACACAAUGCUACCAGUCAAAGAAUGAGAACUAAGACCAUUCAAUUUCCUCCUUUUCUGGAGCCAAGCCAGGCUGACAUUUUCCUUUCUGUUAGUUUUGGCAAAGAGGAAAGAGAGGAAAAACUUUUACUACUCUGUUACUGAUGGGGUUUUUAUUUUGUUUUUAUUAAAAAUGUUGAAACAUGG